AUUGAACGCUGGCGGUAUGCUUAACACAUGCAAGUCGAACGGUAGCAGCUCUUCGGAGGCUGACGAGUGGCGGACGGGUGAGUAACGCGUAGGAAUCUGCCUGUUAGUGGGGGACAACUUAGGGAAACUUAAGCUAAUACCGCAUACGCCCUACGGGGGAAAGGAGGGGAUCUUCGGACCUUUCGCUAACAGAUGAGCCUGCGUAGGAUUAGCUAGUUGGUAGGGUAAAGGCCUACCAAGGCGACGAUCCUUAGCUGUUCUGAGAGGAAGAUCAGCCACACUGGGACUGAGACACGGCCCAGACUCCUACGGGUGGCUG
RNAcentral lists this ribosomal RNA (319 nucleotides) under uncultured Pseudomonadota bacterium. RNAcentral's name for it is "bacterial SSU rRNA". It matches the Rfam family "Bacterial small subunit ribosomal RNA", at positions 30 to 351 of the family's 1533-position model. The record is from RNAcentral. Lineage: Bacteria; Pseudomonadati; Pseudomonadota.